GGGGAAUCACUGCACACCCAGUUGAAUAAGAUGAGAAGAAUUAAUCCAUAGUUAAAGUGUUUGCUAUAUAUUUCAUAUUUCCACAGGAUUAUUGUUUGUUGAGGAGUGCGGUGGCGCAGUGGGUUGGACCACAGUCCUGCUCUCCGGUGGGUCUGGGGUUCGAGUCCUGCUUGGGGUGCCUUGCGGCGGACUGGCGUCCUGUUCUGGGUGUGUCCCCUUACGCCCUGUGUUGCCGGGUAGGCUCCGGUUCCCCGUGACCCUGUAUGGGACAAGCGGUUCUGAAAAUGUGUGUGUAUUAUUUGUUGACCUAGGUUUUCUUUUGUUUGGAAUUUUUCCCAGUAUGUAUUCAAUAACCGAGACUUAAGCUCCACUGUACUCAGUGAAGGCCACAGGUCUCAGUUACCACCCGUCUUCUCAGUGCUGAAAGGUUCAUUGUCUCAAUCUGGCACCGUGUCUCCCACUACUGAGGUUGGGAGCCCUUUGAGAGUUAUGCAAUUCCCCGGAGUUGUUUCCGCAUGGAUCGGAACUGGUCUCGCAGUUCACUGCCCGAUUCAGAAGAAAUGUCUUGUUUGUCUCUCACAAUGUCACCGUAUUGCAUUUCCUUUCAAUUCUUGGGCACUAAGAUCCAGUUUUAUUUACCUGAGAACGCUGGGAGGGACACUUAGAACUGAACUCCCAGAAAUCUCAUCUAUCGUCAACAACCGCUUGUCCCGACGAGCCGGAGCCUUACCUGGCAGCACUGGGCACAAGGCCGAAGGGGGAGGGGACACACCCAGGACAGGACGCCAGUCCGUCACUGCGCACUCCAAGCAGAGCUCGAACCCCAGACCUGCCGUGCCCUGCCAGCAAUCUCACUGUAUUUCUUUUUCUCCCACUGUGUGUACUGAAGUGUUAUCUUUUAUGGCUGAUUUAAUUAAACAACAUGACUCUAAAUGACAAAGACCUGCCUGUCAGGUCUGUGAGCUUGUUCCUAUUGACUUUGCCUUGGAGUCUCCUUUCCAUUCUCACCACUUCUCCAUGUCGCUUUCCUUUACAGGUGCCUCUUAUUUGAGGACCUGUCCGGGACCGAACUUAACCGAUACUAUGAUCUUAUCGUUUUGCGCGUCAAAAAGGUAAAACAUCUUUGUACUAUCAAUAUGACAUACAUUAACAGAGUGAUUGGUUAAUAAUGAUAAGGCAAUUACACGCACACUCAUGUCCAGGCUAUACCAUACAAUUCAAGCAGGUAUGAUUACACAAAUUGCACAUUCUGAUUUCAAGCAGAAAAUCACAAAACAUUUCAAGUCCAAACUAAAAAAAGAGAAAUCCAGUCAAAGGCUGCCUAAGGUUACAAUACAUUUCCAUCAUGUUUAAAUGCGGCCCAUGAUUUAACAUACCAACCUCACAAUGAACAGUUCUGUUAUUGUGUCAGGCAAUAUGUUUUCGCCAAUAAGAACGGCAGUAAGACAAACUAACACUGAAUCACUCGCACAGCAGACGUCCUAGAAUCAGGGAGAGCCUCUGGCAUAAAAAGGCGGCCUUGUGUCUUAGCGAAGUGCACGCUGGAAAAACAGGAGACUGAGAAACCGUUCCAAAUUCUUCUGCCGCGUAAACAAUUUGUGUUCGUGGAGAGCCAUACUCCCCUUUCGUUAAUUCCGGUGAGGUAUACCUGUUCUUACCUAAGGGGGAGGUCUGAUGACAGGCUGGGAAGAGAAGGCUGGGCUGUUUCUCCGCAAUGUUUUGCUGCCUGGUUUGGAGCUGACAGAGUUGUAUACAAGGCCUGUACAAGGCCUUCCCCGGACUGGGUAACCGCUCUUAGGCUUC
This 1803-nucleotide long non-coding RNA is filed under the name Scleropages formosus (Asian bonytongue). RNAcentral describes it as "lncRNA (ENSSFOG00015024713.1)". The record is from RNAcentral. Lineage: Eukaryota; Metazoa; Chordata; Actinopteri; Osteoglossiformes; Osteoglossidae.